UACACUAUUUCAUUGUUUUGAUAAGAAAAAAACCGGCUAAAGGUUAAAUACCGUUGCGAAUUGAAUAUGGGCUUGCCGGAUUUACGCCCGGCGUGUAAUUAGUCGAGAAGUACAGGAAUUCUAAUAGAGAGGUUCGAAAUUGUUGGACUUUCACGAGACGCAUUUAAAAUACCCGCCACAAUGACAGCUAAUUAAAUUGUCAGUUGGCGAUUGCAUUUUUCGUUUUUCGGUUCGUUGCAUAUCUGAAGCGAAUUAAUGCUAAGUGAGAAUGCGAGAUAUGCGACUAAUGAUGGGUUCUAAUAACCCAACAAACCCAUUGCGACCAUUUUCAGUUUCAAUACGAACCCAUAACUGGGUUAAUUCUAGGUACAGCUGCUUGGACACACUUUUCUAAGGCUAUUAACGAAUUAAGUGUUGAAAUAGCUCAUUAUCGGAGAGGAAGGAGAUUACAAAAUUGACUGAAAGUUAAUAGGACAAUAAAAUAUAUGAAUAUAAAUUGUGGCGAACGCUGAUGAUUGAUGGGUUCGACAGGAAUUGAAAUUGGACUUUCACAAACAAACACGGCAUAAGUCCAACCAAAUUGGCCUCUAAACCAAAAUCUUGAUUUUUUUCAUAACGUUGAAUAAAUAUGAAAAACAAAACGCCUAGUACUUAUCAUUGAGAAAAAAAAUUGUUGACGCUCUUUAUCUACUACCACUGCUUUAUAAUCUGUAAAUUACGUAAGUAUGCAAAAUUCCAUUUGAUUCUGACUACAGGAACCCUCUUAAAUUUGGCUCGGAAAAAAUGAAACAGACAGACAGACAACAAAGCAAGUUAAAUCAAAAUUUUUAAAAAGAACUGUUCUUAAGUACCUAGCAAUACGAGGAGUGAGCAAAUUUACAAUAUUCUACAAAAUUUUCAAGAAAAAAUACUAACGAGAAAUAAAACAAUAUAGGACCAUAAAAAAGCAACAUUCAAGACCUCGAAACCUCGAUAUCUGAAAUUUUUUGAGGUACAGUCAGGAUCAAAAAGCAGCCACAAUACGGCUAAUGUGUACGUUUAACUAGUUUACAAACUAGCUAAAUAUUGCUGGACCGUUUGUAAAUUGAAGGACUUGUUGAAAUUUAUGACCUAAAAGAUUUUAAUCGGCCAUUUGCUAUUCGAGUAAAGGAAAAAUUGAAAAUCGUCCAAACUUUGAAGUUGGAUUCUUAUUUGAAUGGACAAAGUGUUUAGCAAAAGCAGUGUUAGAUUACAAAUGGGGCUGCGUGCGUGUGGACACGGAAAGCUAAAUUUAUGCGAAACGGCACAAGGUCCAGCCAGAAAAGGCUCGCGUCGAAUCUGUCGAUCGAUAAAUCAUCUCGAAAUAACUCCUCGGAGGAGGAGGAGGAGGAAAAAGAUGGAGAAAGAGGAGCGUCGAAAGGCAGCGCCUGGCCGACGUAGUUGGCUCGUUUUUAAUUGUUAUGGAUCAGUAAUUAAACAAAUAAAUUA
Molecule: long non-coding RNA, 1467 nt
Organism: Tribolium castaneum (red flour beetle)
Lineage: Eukaryota; Metazoa; Arthropoda; Insecta; Coleoptera; Tenebrionidae
Exons: 3
Source: RefSeq, a predicted model, not a curated record